UGAGACUCAACACUCCCAACAUUCAUACAACUUUCUAUCCUUCUUUCUUAUCAUGCCUCUGCAAUCUUCCUUCUCCUCCUUUUCCACCCAUUCUUCUUCUUCUUCUUCCUUCGGCUAUGCAUGGGAGUAUGAUGUGUUUAUUAGUUUCAGAGGCGAAGAUACUCGCUAUGGUUUCACUGGCAACCUCUACAAAGCUCUUUUUGAUAAAGGAGUCCACACCUUCAUUGAUGAUGAGGAGCUUCAAAGAGGACACGAAAUCACACCCUCACUUCUCACCACAAUUGAAGAGUCCAGGAUUGCCAUCAUUGUCCUCUCUGCUAACUAUGCUUCUUCUUCUUUUUGCUUAGACGAGCUUGUCCACAUCCUUCACUGCAUCAAGGGAAAUGAUCGCCUGGUUUUACCGGUUUUCUAUGAGGUUGAUCCUUCUGAUGUGCGCCAUCAAAGAAAUAGUUUUGGAGAGGCAAUAGCUAAGCAUGAGAAGAGAUACAAAUAUGACAUGAGCAACAAGGUGGACAAAUGGAAGCAGGCUCUGCAUCAAGUUGCUAAUUUGUCAGGAUAUCAUUUCAAACACGGGGAUGGAUAUGAACACAAGUUUAUUGCAAAUAUCGUGGAAGAAAUUUCAAGAAAGAUUAAUCGUGUACCUUUGCCCGUUGCUGAUUACCCUGUUGGACUAAAGUCUCGAGUGUCAAAUAUAAUUUCACUUCUGGAAAUGGAUUCUAGUGAUCGAGUUCACAUGGUAGGGAUACAUGGAAUUGGUGGCAUAGGAAAAACGACACUUGCAAUUGCUGUCUAUAACUUGAUAGCUGACAACUUUGAAAGUGUGUGCUUUCUUGAAAAUGUGAGGGAAAAUUCAAGUAAAUAUGGGUUGGUACAUCUUCAAAAUAACCUUCUUUGUAAGAUACUAGGGAAGGAGGGAGUCCAGAUACAAGGUGUUAAAGAAGGAACCUUACAAAUACAACAAAGACUUUGUCGAAAGAAAGUUCUUUUGAUUCUAGAUGAUGUUGAUGAUAAAAAGCAGUUAGAAUCUAUUGCUGGAAAACCGGAUUGGUUUGGUGGUGGUAGCAGGGUGAUUAUUACAACACGAGAUACACAUUUGCUAAAACUCCAUAAUGUUGAAAAGACAUUUGAGGUAGCUGCUUUGAGUAAGGAACAUUCUCUUGAAUUGCUUGUUAAAAAAGCUUUCAAAAAUGAUGAAGUCAACUCAAGUUAUUAUGCGAAUGUUUUAAAUUGUGCAAUAACUUAUGCCUCUGGACAUCCGUUGGCUUUGGAAAUAAUAGGUUCCAAUUUGUUUGGAAAAGAAGUAGAACAUUGGGAAUCUGCAUUACAUCAGUAUGAAAAAAUUCCUAACAGGGAGAUCCAACAAAUACUUAAAAUAAGUUAUGAUGCUUUGGAGGAAUAUGAGAAGAAUAUUUUUCUUGAUAUCACUUGUUGCUUUAAAGGACACAACUUGAAAGAAAUUAGUGAUAUACUUCAUGCUCAUUAUGGAGAUCACAUGACCUAUCAUAUUGAUCGGUUGGUUGAUAAAUCACUCAUAAAGAUUAAGUUUGGGGAUCAAGUGACAUUUCAUGAUUUGAUAGAGGAUAUGGGCAAAGAAAUUGUUCGACAAGAAUCACCAAAUAUGCCAGGAAACCGUAGCAGGUUAUGGUCUCAUGAAGAUAUAGUUCAAGUUUUACAAGAAAAACAAGGGACUAGCACCGUUGAGAUUAUAUAUCUGGAAUUUCCUUCCUCAAAAAUGGAGGAAAAUGGUGAUCCAUCGAAAAAGAAGAAAAAUAAAGUUGUACAAGUGGAAUGGGAUGGACUAGCGUUUAAGGAUAUGGUAAAUCUGAAGACACUUAUCAUAAAAAAUGGUUCUUUUUCCAAAGGUCCCAAAUAUCUUCCAAACAAUUUAAGAGUAUUGGAUUGGAGGAGGUCUCCAUUGAAGGGUUUUCCAGAUGAUUUUCAACCAAAGCACCUCUGCAUGCUCAAGUUACCCGACUAUCUUUUUAAGUCAUGCAAUUUGCCUAAGCACUCUAGUGGUCAUCCAAAGAAGCUCUCUAUACUCAAGUUACCCUAUUAUCUCUUUAAGAAGUCAUACAAGUUGGAUAGCUUAUUCAAGAACUUGGCCUCCUUGAAUGUUUUGAAUUUUGACAACAGUGAAUAUUUGAAAGAGAUACCUGAUGUGUCCGGUCUUCUAACUUUACAAAAAUUAUCAUUCAGUGGUUGUAAGAAUUUGAUUAGAGUUCACAAUUCAGUUGGUAUCCUCAAUAAUCUUAAAGUCUUGAAAGCUGAAGAUUGCCAGAGUCUUAGGACUUUUCCAUCUAUCAAUUUGCCCUCACUUGAAAUACUUAUGUUGUCUGGUUGCAAUAGACUUGAGAAAUUCCCAGAAAUACUAGGAAAGAUGGAAAAGGUAGAAAUGCUUCGUUUGUGUGGCACUAACAUAAAACAUUUGCCAUCGUCAUUUCAAAACCUUUGUGAGUUGUCCCAUUUGAUUCUGAUUGCCAAUACCUUUCAUAGGAUACCAAGUGUGAUUCUGGAUAUGCCAAAACUGUUUACAUUAUUAUAUAUUAAUGUAAACAUAAACAACCAUGAGACUUGGGCAUCACGCAACAAGUUGGAAGAGGGGGUUGAAGGAACACUCAGCUCUUCAAAUGUGAGUAAUCUUACUGUCAAUAACUAUAUGCUGUCAGAUAACUUUUUUCCACUGGCACUUGCAUGGUUUCGCAAUGUGAAAACAUUAGACCUGAGUCGCAACAGGUUCACAAUCCUUCCCGAAUGCAUCCAAGAUUUUCGCUUUCUAAGCUCCCUCAAAGUUGAUUUUUGCACGAAGCUAGUUAAGAUUGCAGGAAUUCCACCAAAUUUGAAACAAUUCUCGGCAGUAGGCUGCAGCAACUUGACUGAGGAGGAGGUCAAAAGCGUGUUACUCAAUCAGGAACUGCACGAGAAUGGAAGAACCGAGUUCGCAUUGCCAGGAACAACGAUUCCAGCAUGGUUUGAAGAGCAGGGAAAGGGAGAUUCUAUUUCAUUCUGGUUUCGUGGCGAGUUCCCUUCGAAUGCACUUUGCUUUGCAAUUCUACAGCGGAAUAGGCGCAAUGGUGGAACUUAUAUAACUCGUAUAACAACCAUGGUGAGCAUCAAUGGCAAGCAAGUUUCCCGUGGAGGUGGGAGAACCCAAAUGCAGGACCUAUUUAUUUUUGAUCUGUCCGUGACAAAUAAAACGUAUCAUUUGGAUGGAAUAUGCUUUGAAAAUAAAUGGAAUCAUGCGAAUGUUUCAUUUGAAUUUCAAUAUGGCGGCGAAAUGGAGUUUGGAAUGCAUAUAUUGAAGCAAGAGAGUAGUAGCAUCAUGAAAGAUAUUCAAUUCACUAAUUGUAACAGUCCAGACCACCUACCAGCACGAUAUUGUCCACUUUGGCACAGUAACAGCCCGGACCACAAAAGGAAAAGGCCGCACAAAGCCCUCCACACUCACUCAUCAAAAUGCACACAUCAUGUUUAGAAGAGGACCUUACACUAAUCAUUUCAUAAAGAAUGAAGACGAUGAAGCUCUCCAUGGUAUUGACAGCAUUGACGUUCGUCGAAGGAAACAAUGGAAGACCGAAUGAAAGAAGAAGAUGCAUGCUUCAAGACUAUCGAACUAAUGAUGGCAAGAAAACAUAACAAAAGAAAAGUAUGCUGUGGCUAAGAUCAACAUCAUUUAUGGUAAGAUUCUGUGAUGAGAUCUUGGCUUCAUCGUACCAAAAAUAGUUGAUGAAGAUUCGGCCAGCAAGGAAGAUCUUUGGGGGAUGGCUUGUCUCUGAUUCUGCUCAACCACCACAGGAAGUAGCAAGAGUGGCGAAGUGAUGGAGGAGGCAGAGAUUGGAGCAGAUGAAGCCAUCAUCAUCAUGAAGCAUCAAGGGCCAGAAAUUCAUCUUGGAGAGCAAGCCAAGGAUGGAGCGCUCGGAUUGAUGAAGAAUGAUGACCAAGGAAGAACUAAAGGUAUUUGCAUGUUGGGUUUUGCAUGAGUUACCUCUUCUCUCUCUAUGGCCGAACCGGUUCUGUUUUGAAGGAAAAGAAGCUAAGCUUGGUUUUGUGUUUCAACUGUGAAGGCUUCACUUCUCUAUAAAAGGGGUGAACAGUCACGGUUUGAGUCAAGGAAAGAAAGUGAGAGUGCAAGGCAUAGAAGUCUCAUAGCUACCUAAGCUUACAGAUUUUCUUCUCCUUCAAUGUAUUCUGUUUUGUAAUUUUUCUGUUUAAUUUUGUCAUGUUUUGAGUCUUAUGGAAAAAGGCAAACAAGUGAGGUUUGUAUGAAAAAGUCAUAGAGCGGAAAAAGACAGAGAGUGCAAAAUUAAAAGAAAAAGUCAUAGAUGUCUUAGAGUUCUUUUGUUCAUCCAGGUUGUGUUUCAUGAUUCUGUGGGAAUCCCCUUGUAAGUUGGGUUAGCACUUUACAGUUUGUAAUCUGGAAGAUUAUAGUGAAAUUCCAUCAUGUUUGUGAUGUAGACUGGAUGUAGGCUGCACUGCACUUAGCGGCUGAACCAGGA
RNA transcript from Arachis duranensis, 4493 nucleotides. It is a transcript of the gene named disease resistance protein RPV1-like, with no coding region annotated. The transcript is spliced from 7 exons. The record is from RefSeq and is a predicted model, not a curated record. Lineage: Eukaryota; Viridiplantae; Streptophyta; Magnoliopsida; Fabales; Fabaceae.